This 21-nucleotide non-coding RNA is filed under the name Caenorhabditis elegans. The record is from RNAcentral. Lineage: Eukaryota; Metazoa; Nematoda; Chromadorea; Rhabditida; Rhabditidae.
UUGCGUUUGUUAAAAAAACAU